AUGACGAGCCAUCGCCGCCUCCGCUCGACGGCGAGGCCGCCGCUGGAGGACGAGGACCUGCUCUCCGAGGUCCUCCUCCGCCUCCCGUCGCAGCCGUCCUCCCUCCCGCGCGCCUCCCUCGUGUGCAAUCCCUGGCGCAGCCUCGUCGCAGAUCCGGGUUUCCUCCGCCGCUUCCGCCUCCACCACCGCCGCAACGCUCCUCUUCUCGGUUUCUUCGAUAUUAGUUACGCUGAGGGAAGUUUUCACGACAUCUACUUCGUACCCACCAUGGAUCGCCCCAAUCGUCUGCCGGAUGGCCCGGAGGGCCGCUUCUACUUGCCGGCCGCCAACCGAGAAGAAGGCUACCGCGAGCUUCUUGGAUGCCGCGAUGGUCUCGUCCUCAUUCUCCACUUACCAUGGAGGUGCCCCCGGAGAACACCACCGGCAUCGUGGCGCCCGAUCCUGGUGUGGGAUCCUGUCAGCGGCGACAAGCACCGCAUUGCCUUCCCCUGGGGGUUCGAUGAUUAUAAGCUCUUGCAGUGGUGGAUCAAUGGGGCGGUGCUUCGCCACGCCGGAUUAGACCACUUUCAUGUAAUCUUGCUAGUGACAGAGGAGGGAAAAGAAAAUAGGCGAUUGCUUGCAUGGGUUUACUCGUCGGAGACCAGCGAAUGGGGUGAUCCCAUAUCGACGCUGCUUCCAUCCUGGGACUUCUUAAGCAAUCCGGACAAGCCCGCUGUGCUUGCUGAGAAUUCUCUUUACUGGAUCCUUGUUGAAGACGGUGGGCUUGGUUUCCUCUUUCUGUUAAAGUGGGACUACAGGGCUGUGUUUUAUGACUGGAAGACAGAUCGUGAUGGUGUUAGUUCAUGGGUGAACUCAAAAGUCAUUGAGAUAGACAAGCUACUUUCUCUGAAUGCAGAGAAGAAGUACGAGCUACUUUGCAAGAAUCUAAAUAAGGAGUGCACAAGGAUGCUAGGGUUUGCGGAGAACAGUAAUGUGAUAUUCCUGGAGACGUUUAUCGGCCUGUUUAUGAUUGAACUCAGCACAUUGCAAUUGAAGGAACUUCCCCGAACCAACGGGCACAGAUUCAACGUCCAUGCAUUCGAAAGUGUCUAUACUGCAGGUACUGGCAUUGGUGGUGGACAUGGUGGAGCUGAAGUUUUGCGCAAUGCCUAA
This 1152-nucleotide ribosomal RNA is filed under the name Triticum aestivum (bread wheat). RNAcentral's name for it is "partial small subunit ribosomal RNA". Lineage: Eukaryota; Viridiplantae; Streptophyta; Magnoliopsida; Poales; Poaceae. The record is from RNAcentral.